GCCUCCGUUUCUUCCCAAUUACAUCUUCUGUUGCUUGCUUCUCUGCCAUUUUCGUGCCUUCAAACCGAGCCUCUUAUGAACUCAACGAUCAAUCUUCAAUUCUUAACUCAAAUCCUAAAUUAUUCUUGAUGUAAUCUUAAAUCCAUGACAACCCCUUUCAAUAGCCAUCGAUUCCAAUCACCAGAACCUAUUAUUCAUCACAUCUCCAAUUACUUCUCAAACCCUAACUGCAAUCUCGAGUUCAAACUAAACCCUUGUCUUACUUAAGGUUUCUAGGUGCUGUAAAUUCGAUCAGUGAGGUGCUGGUGAUGGAUGGUGGUAAUCUUCGAUGAUUGAAUUUUUGAUAGCUAUGUAGUAUGAUUCAAUCGGAUUCUGAAAUGGAUGAGUUAAGCUUCACAGGGAGAAAUCAGAUGGAGGAAUUGGUGAAUGUUGAUGAAGAAUUAGGGUUUGGUGGAUCUCCUAAUCAGCAUGUUGGUGGUCCAUAACGGUGCAACCAUUAUAGAGACUUGGGGAGGGAAUGGGACUGUAAAUGGAAUCAACUCGACUAGGAACCCCAGUACUUUGUCCAAAAUAGAUGAUUUCUGCUUUGCACUUGGAGCACGGCCAGUUCACAGUAUCUUAACUGCGAACAAUGGGAUGGCAGCCGUGAAAUUCAUUUGAAGUAUAAGAACGUGGGCAUAUGAAGCAUUUGCAACUGAGAAAGCAAUUUUGCUGGUUGCGGUGGCCACUCCAAAGGACAUGAGAAUUAAUACUGAACAUAUUAGAAUCGCUGACCAGUUUGUGGAAGUUCCAAGUGGAACUAACAACAAUAAUUAUGCUAAUGUUCAGCUCAUUGUGGAGGACAUUAAUUUCAGGGUUAGUGCUCUGGCGGAGAUGUUGCAGCCUGCAUGGUUUUACACAGGUUGCUAAUGAAGUGAGGUUCACAGUAGGGCCUAAAGAUUAUAAGUUUUUCAUGGAAAAAAAAUUCUGGGGAAUGCCUGCGAAGAAUCCAUUUAGCUUUUUCACUGCAAUUAUUGAUGCUGUGCUUGGUGCAUUGAAAAUUAUGCAUGUUGAUACUACGUGAAAAAUUAUUUCUUUGGUACUCAAAGGACUUGAUCCCGCUGCUUAUGUUAUGCCCUGACUAUAUAUAAGAGAGGAAUCAGUAAGUAAUAAGAUAUUGGGUGGAGUUGGAUGUGCGUUUUUAAGGGCCACCCGAAAGGAUUUAGGGGCCAUCAAUUUAUACCCAGCCAAAGACUCUAGUUAAGGGGUACCCUAUAUGAUAUUGAAGUUACAUAAAUGUCCUUCUGGUAAAAUUCUACUCAUUUCAACUCUUCUUCUUCCAGUUUCAUAUUAUCUUCCGAUUGUGGAAGAAAAAAAAACUUUCCCUCGUUCUUGUGUUCAACCGAAACAUCGCCGCGAAUCGUAAAAUCAAACAUCGUCGAUUCGUUUAUAAAACAAUGGAUAAGGGAAAUG
This is a long non-coding RNA of Papaver somniferum (opium poppy), 1452 nucleotides long. RefSeq lists it as uncharacterized. NCBI's taxonomy places the organism in Eukaryota, Viridiplantae, Streptophyta, Magnoliopsida, Ranunculales, Papaveraceae. The transcript is spliced from 5 exons. The record is from RefSeq and is a predicted model, not a curated record.